GACAGCAGCAGCCGCGGUAAUACGUAGGUGGCGAGCGUUGUCCGGAAUUAUUGGGCGUAAAGGGAGCGCAGGCGGACAUAUAAGUCCAUCUUAAAAGUGCGGGGCUCAACCCCGUGAGGGGAUGGAAACUGUAUGCCUUGAGUGCAGGAGAGGAAAGCGGAAUUCCCAGUGUAGCGGUGAAAUGCGUAGAUAUUGGGAGGAACGCCAGUGGCGAAGGCGGCUUUCUGGACUGUAACUGACGCUGAGGCUCGGAAGCCAGGGGAGCGAACGGGAUUAGAUACCCCCGUAGUCCCUGUCUCUUAUACA
This 306-nucleotide ribosomal RNA is filed under the name uncultured bacterium. Its description in RNAcentral is "partial 16S ribosomal RNA". It matches the Rfam family "Bacterial small subunit ribosomal RNA", at positions 507 to 809 of the family's 1533-position model. The record is from RNAcentral.